RNAcentral lists this ribosomal RNA (271 nucleotides) under uncultured prokaryote. Its description in RNAcentral is "partial 16S ribosomal RNA". It matches the Rfam family "Bacterial small subunit ribosomal RNA", at positions 524 to 794 of the family's 1533-position model. The record is from RNAcentral.
UACGGAGGGGGCUAGCGUUGUUCGGAAUUACUGGGCGUAAAGCGCACGUAGGCGGAUCAGCCAGUCAGGGGUGAAAUCCCGGGGCUCAACCCCGGAACUGCCCUUGAUACUGCUGGUCUGGAGUUCGAGAGAGGCGAGUGGAAUUCCGAGUGUAGAGGUGAAAUUCGUAGAUAUUCGGAGGAACACCAGUGGCGAAGGCGGCUCGCUGGCUCGACACUGACGCUGAGGUGCGAAAGCGUGGGGAGCAAACAGGAUUAGAUACCCGUGUAGU